AAAUGUGAGGGCAAACUGGCUAUGACAUUUGUCGCCUAAGUGAUCUCCAGUGUUAAUUCAUCUGAUCUGGCUGCUUAGCCANGUGUCCCCUUCCUUCAUUACUACUCCUUGUUAGUAGCUGCCCACCUCAUUGAAGAAAACCUUCACCUUAAAGGGCAGGGUCAUUGUCCUAUCAGAGGCAUAGAGUAGCUGCCCUCUCCUGCUAGACCCUCCAAACAAGGACCUGGGCAUGGGGGAGGGGCUGCCUUAGAAGUUUCUUACACAUGAUCCUAGCUGCUCUGAUGGUGUUGCCAGUUGUG
Molecule: small nuclear RNA, 299 nt
Filed under: Neotoma lepida (desert woodrat)
Lineage: Eukaryota; Metazoa; Chordata; Mammalia; Rodentia; Cricetidae
Description: 7SK RNA
Rfam family: 7SK RNA
About the family: 7SK was discovered as an abundant small nuclear RNA in the mid-70s but a possible function has only recently been suggested. Two independent studies have found that 7SK RNA binds the CDK9/cyclin T complex (known as elongation factor P-TEFb). P-TEFb activates transcription by phosphorylating the C-terminal domain of RNA polymerase II.
Source: Rfam by way of RNAcentral